CCUACGGGAUGCAGCAGUAGGGAAUUUUCGGCAAUGGGGGGAACCCUGACCGAGCAACGCCGCGUGAAGGAAGAAGGAAUUCGUUCUGUAAACUUCUGUUAUAAAGGAAGAAAGACGGAUGGAGGAAAUGACAUCCGAGUGACGGUACUUUAUGAGAAAGCCCCGGCUAACUACGUGCCAACAGCCGCGGUAAUACGUAGGUGGCAAGCGUUAUCCGGAAUUAUGGGGCGUAAAGAGGGAGCAGGCGGCAGCAAGGGUCUGUGGUGAAAGGCUGAAGCUUAACUUCAGUAAGCCAUAGAAACCGGGCGGCUGGAGUGCAGGAGAGGAUCGUGGAAUUCCAGGUGUAGCGGUGAAAUGCGUAGAUAUAUGGAGGAACACCAGUGGCGAAGGCGACGAUCUGGCCUGCAACUGACGCUCAGUCCCGAAAGCGUGGGGAGCAAAUAGGAUUAGAUACCCCAGUAGUC
This 464-nucleotide ribosomal RNA is filed under the name uncultured bacterium. RNAcentral's name for it is "partial 16S ribosomal RNA". It matches the Rfam family "Bacterial small subunit ribosomal RNA", at positions 338 to 795 of the family's 1533-position model. The record is from RNAcentral.